Molecule: ribosomal RNA, 421 nt
Filed under: uncultured Planctomycetaceae bacterium
Lineage: Bacteria; Pseudomonadati; Planctomycetota; Planctomycetia; Planctomycetales; Planctomycetaceae
Description: bacterial SSU rRNA
Rfam family: Bacterial small subunit ribosomal RNA
Source: RNAcentral
AGUCGAGAAUCUUCGGCAAUGGGCGCAAGCCUGACCGAGCGACGCCGCGUGGAGGACGAAGGCCUUCGGGUUGUAAACUCCUGUCGAGGGGGAACAAGGGGGCGUGCAGAGCGUCCCUUGAGUGAUCCCUGGAGGAAGCACGGGCUAAGUUCGUGCCAGCAGCCGCGGUAAGACGAACCGUGCGAACGUUAUUCGGAAUCACUGGGCUUAAAGCGCGUGUAGGCGGGUGGUCGCGUCGCUUGCUGAAAGCCCCCGGCUCAACCGGGGGACCGGCGGCGAAACGGGCCACCUCGAGGGGCGUAGGGGGAGCUGGAACUCACGGUGGAGCGGUGAAAUGCGUUGAGAUCGUGAGGAACGCCCGCGGCGAAAGCGAGCUCCUGGACGCCUGCUGACGCUGAGACGCGAAAGCCAGGGGAGCGAA